This is a long non-coding RNA of Arvicola amphibius (Eurasian water vole), 567 nucleotides long. RefSeq lists it as uncharacterized. Lineage: Eukaryota; Metazoa; Chordata; Mammalia; Rodentia; Cricetidae. The record is from RefSeq and is a predicted model, not a curated record. The transcript has 3 exons.
GCAUAGACACGGUUUCAGACCCAAACCAAGAAGACAAACAGCUCAACAACCACGGGGCUGGAGGAUACCGCGAUCACGAAUUGCCACGCGCCAGUGCGGAACCUACCCUCUUCUUGUCACGCGGGGAAGCUGUGUCACACCUCCUCAUCCACGCCGGCAUUAAGGAAAGUAACUCCAGGCUGCAUAAAAGCAGCAGAUAAACUGACUUGGCCCUCAGGCCUUAGUUUGUCAGCUCCCACAACCCUGCCCUAAAACAAAACAGGAUUGGCACCCCUUAGGUGGGCAGGAGGGCUGGAGCACCCAGGAGGAAUAAGAUGAAGGAGACCUUGCUGGAGCCUUCCCACUAUUGCUCUUGUAGUUCUUUGCCUCGGUGCAAACGCUGGGAAUUCUUCAACAUGCUAUGCAAACUUGAAGAAGGAGCUCCUACUAUGUGCCCAGAAUGCAAACAACAGGACAACUCAGAUGGCCGCUUCAUUAGUUCAACCUUCUCUAACCUUUUUGAUGCAGAAGCAUACUAACAAGAAAAUGCUAGGAAAUUUAUUCAAGAAUAAAAGAGAAAAAGCUGGG